UGGUGUUGAUUGAUCACUUGAU
Molecule: non-coding RNA, 22 nt
Filed under: Arabidopsis thaliana (thale cress)
Lineage: Eukaryota; Viridiplantae; Streptophyta; Magnoliopsida; Brassicales; Brassicaceae
Source: RNAcentral